This 378-nucleotide ribosomal RNA is filed under the name uncultured bacterium. Its description in RNAcentral is "bacterial SSU rRNA". It matches the Rfam family "Bacterial small subunit ribosomal RNA", at positions 521 to 896 of the family's 1533-position model. The record is from RNAcentral.
UAAGACGUAGGGGGCGAGCGUUGUCCGGAUUUAUUGGGCGUAAAGCGCGCGCAGGCGGCCCGGAAAGUCGGGUGUGAAAAUUCGGGGCUCAACCCCGAACGUGCAUCCGAAACUUCCGGGCUGGAGGCAGGUAGGGGAGAUCGGAAUUCCUGGUGUAGCGGUGAAAUGCGCAGAUAUCAGGAGGAACACCGGUGGCGAAGGCGGAUCUCUGGGCCUGUCCUGACGCUCAGGCGCGAAAGCUAGGGGAGCGAACAGGAUUAGAUACCCUGGUAGUCCUAGCCGUAAACGAUGGAUGCUAGGUGUGGGGGGACAUCGACCCCCUCCGUGCCGGAGCUAACGCAUUAAGCAUCCCGCCUGGGGAGUACGGCCGCAAGGCUA